RNAcentral lists this ribosomal RNA (440 nucleotides) under uncultured bacterium. Its description in RNAcentral is "partial 16S ribosomal RNA". It matches the Rfam family "Bacterial small subunit ribosomal RNA", at positions 338 to 795 of the family's 1533-position model. The record is from RNAcentral.
CCUACGGGAGGUAGCAGUGGGGGAUAUUGCACAAUGGGGGAAACCCUGAUGCAGCGACGCCGCGUGUGGGAAGACGGUCCUCUGGAUUGUAAACCACUGUCCCCAGGGACGAAGAUGACGGUACCUGGGGAGGAAGCUCCGGCUAACUACGUGCCAGCAGCCGCGGUAAGACGUAGGGAGCAAGCGUUGUCCGGAAUUACUGGGUUUAAAGGGAGCGUAGGCGGGAUGGCAAGUUGGGUGUUAAAUCUACCGGCUCAACUGGUAGUCGCACUCAAAACUGCUAUUCUUGAGUGAAGUAGAGGCAGGAGGAAUUACUAGUGUAGCGGUGAAAUGCGUAGAUAUUAGGAGGAACACCAGUGGCGAAGGCGGCCUGCUGGGCUUUUACUGACGCUGAGGCUCGAAAGUGUGGGGAGCAAACAGGAUUAGAUACCCUUGUAGUC